ACAUUAAAUUAAGGGCACAUGGUGGAUGCCUUGAUACCAAAAGGGGAUGAAGGACGUGGCGUGUCUGCGAUAAGCCUCGGGGAGGUGGCGAGCAACCUACGAUCCGGGGAUUUCCGAAUGGGGAAACCCAACCUGGCAAACCCAGGUUAUCCCGGCCUUGCGUCGGGAUCCAUACCCGCUGAAGUGAAACAUCUCAGUAAGCGGAGGAAAAGAAAUCAAAGAGAUUCCGUAAGUAGUGGCGAACGAAAGCGGAACAGCCUAAACCGGGAGAGUUUACUCUCCCGGGGUUGUGGGAUACUUAAAUAUGGUAUCGUGAAGAGAAGCUAAUCAGUUUGGAAAACUGAACCAGAGAGGGUGAUAGUCCCGUGAGUGUAAUCGAAUCGUAACCUAGAGUUUCCCGAGUAAUGCGGGACACGUGAAACCCUGCAUGAAUCCAGGCGGACCACCGUCUAAGGCUAAAUACUAACUGGAGACCGAUAGUGAACAAGUACCGUGAGGGAAAGGUGAAAAGGACCCCUGCUAGGGGAGUUUAAAGUUCCUGAAACCCCGUGCCUACAAUGUGUGGGAGCACUUUUUAAGUGUGACCGCGUGCCUUUUGCAUAAUGAGUCUGCGAGUUAUUGUCAGUGGCAAGCCUAAGCACUAUUGGUGCGCAGGCGAAGCGAAAGCGAGUGUGAAUAGCGCGUCCAGUCGCUGGCGAUAGACCCGAAGCGGAGGUGAUCUAACCAUGGGCAGGUUGAAGCUGAGGUAAAACGCAGUGAAGGACCGAACCGUUGUACGUUGAAAAGGGCUCGGAUGACCUGUGGUUAGGAGUGAAAGGCUAAUCAAACCCCGUGAUAGCUGGUUCUCUUCGAAAUAGCUUUAGGGCUAGCGUCGGGGAAGUACUCCGAGGAGGUAGAGCACUGAUUGGCUUAGGGUCCCUAACAGGAUACCAAAACCAGUUAAACUCCGAAUGCCUCGGAUCCCAUUAUCCCGGCAGUCAGUCGGCGAGUGAUAAGAUCCGUCGUCGAGAGGGAAACAACCCAGACCAUCGGCUAAGGUGCCAAAAUACCGCUCAGUGGUAAGGAUGUGACGUUACAUAGACAGUGAGGAUGUUGGCUUAGAAGCAGCCACCAUUUAAACAGUGCGUAACAGCUGACUCAUCGAGUGACGUUGCGCCGAAAAUGAUUGGCGAUCAAGCGGUAUACCGAAGCCAUGGAUGUCUUUUUAAGACAUGGUAGAAGAGCGUAGUCAGGCCACAGAAGCUUCUCUGUAAAGAGGGGUGGAGGGCUGACUAGUGAGAAUGCAGACAUGAGUAGCGAUAAACAAAGUGAGAAUCUUUGUCUCCGUAAACCCAAGGUUUCCUGGGCCAGGCUCGUCCUCCCAGGGUUAGUCGGGACCUAAGGCGAGGCCGAAAGGCGUAGUCGAUGGACAGCAGGUUAAUAUUCCUGCCCCAUCAUGCAAGGUUGAUCCAGCGGUGCGGAUCUUGAAGUUCAGCGGGACAGUGAAGCGUCCAGGCCCUUGAGGCCGUUGCUGGGUAGAUAGGUUCCAAGAAAAGCCGUCUGGUGACGAACAUGAUGCCCGUACUAAAACUGACACAGGUAGGUGUGGCGAAUAGCCUCAGGCGCUCGAGAAAACGGUUGUGAAGGAACUAGGCAAAUUGACCCUGUAAGUUCGCGAUAAAGGGGCCCUAUCCAUUUAUGGAAGGGCGCAGAGAAAAGGCUCUGGCGACUGUUUAUCAAAAACACAGCACUGUGCUAACACGCAAGUGGACGUAUACAGUGUGACUCCUGCUCGGUGCCGGAAUGUUAAGGAAGCUGGUUAGUCCUUUAGUGGGCAAAGCUAGUGACCGAAGCACCGGUAAACGGCGGCCGUAACUAUAACGGUCCUAAGGUAGCGAAAUUCCUUGUCGGGUAAGUUCCGACGUGCAUGAAUGGAGUAACGACUGGAGCACUGUCUCCACAACCAACUCGGUGAAAUAGUAGUGGCGGUGAAGAUGCCGCCUACCCGCAGCAAGACGGAAAGACCCCGUGGACCUUUACUGCAGGCAUAUAUUGGUCACGGACCUGUAUCG
RNAcentral lists this ribosomal RNA (2051 nucleotides) under marine metagenome. Its description in RNAcentral is "bacterial LSU rRNA". It matches the Rfam family "Bacterial large subunit ribosomal RNA", at positions 1 to 2136 of the family's 2925-position model. The record is from RNAcentral.